UGUCUAUUGUUAUCGGUCGUUCUCUACGUGCACCCGACGCCGCUUUUCCUAUAUCCAUAGGGUUUGACAGCCAAUCCUUGAUUCUUAUGUUUCCUAUAGAUAUAGAUUUUGUGUUAGUUUUGGAAGAGAGAAUAUUCGAAAAGCGUUGAAUUAUUGAUUUUUUGAAGGAGACGAUGCAUUUUAUUAAUUGUGAGGUAACCACGACAGAUUCUAGAUUGAUUUAGCCGGAAAGCUGAGGAUGAAUUCUAACCGGUGAGUCAGUGGAUCGAUGUCAGUGUGAAUCGUGGUCGAAACCAUGGAUGAAGCACAUGAUUCGACCCCAUGGCUUGAACCUACCGAUGGCAGCCUGUCUAUUUUUAGCAGGUAUGGUGAACCUUUUGCGAAGCAACCGAGAGAAAUCUUCCUCCAGAACGUUGAGCUGGAUUUAUAAGCAUGCGAAUAAACUCUUUUUAAUAUGCAGCACUAACCUGUUGAAUGCAUUGUGUUCGUGACAAGCAGUGAUUACAUUUGUUCUCUCGAGUUAGAUACAUUUUUUAUCAUUUCAACGAUCGUGUUACCGAUGAUAACCGCGUUAACCGCUGCUCGGUAUCGUUGUAGAUCAAGGGUGCUUUAAUAUAUUACUUUCUGGUCUCGCUGCUAACUCGAUGAAAACCGACCAGAAAGAACAAUGAAAGGGAAGCCAGAAAAUUUGUUGCAGUAACUGAUUCUCCUCGUAAAAAUUCCUUUUGUAUCUGAAUAAAAAUAUUCAAGCAGCCCAUACUUUUCCUAUAUUUCUUACUAAAUCACCAAAAAUUAACCAUCUUCACUCUACGUGUGUGGCAACAGAAAUAAAUUUAUGUUCUUACUCUCUUUCACUUUCAAAUAUUCUUCUAAAUAUAAAGUUAAAAGUUAAAAAAGCUAACAAUGUGAUGCUUUAAUAUAUUCUGUCAUCCAAAUAAGAGCAAAGGCACUUCCUUUGUUCUCCAAAUUCCUUAAUAACUCUUUAUCCUAAUCCUUAGCAACAAUCUAUGUAAAUAUUAGUAAAAAGUGUAUUAUAUUUUUU
Molecule: unclassified non-coding RNA, 1042 nt
Filed under: Bombus terrestris (buff-tailed bumblebee)
Lineage: Eukaryota; Metazoa; Arthropoda; Insecta; Hymenoptera; Apidae
Description: misc RNA ENSBTSG00005027419.1
Source: RNAcentral